AGAGUUAAAUAGUACGUGAAAUUGUUGAAAGGGAAACGAUUAAAGUUAGUCAUGCUGGUAGGGAAUCAACUUGAUAGUAUGCGGGUUUACUCGUGUUCUUUCGGGUGCAUUUCUUUACUCGCAGGUUAGCAUCAAUUUUGGUUAUUAUAUAAAAAUUGAGGGAAGGUGGCUUUUCUUUAGAAAAGUGUUAUAGACCUUAAUAAAUGUGGUGACUGGGAUUGAGGUUUGCAGCGGAUACCCUUUAGGGCUAGUCACCUGACUUCUGACGGUUACCCUGUCUUCGAUAGCUUGCUAACGUUGAUGGGAUUUAACUGUCUAGAUGUUAGAGUGAUCAUAAAUUCGCUAAGGAUGCUGACGUAAUGGCUUUAAACGACC
Molecule: ribosomal RNA, 375 nt
Filed under: Acaulospora dilatata
Lineage: Eukaryota; Fungi; Glomeromycota; Glomeromycetes; Diversisporales; Acaulosporaceae
Description: partial large subunit ribosomal RNA
Source: RNAcentral